CGGCGAACCCACCUUCUUGCAGCACCUCCCAACGCCGGCAAAGCCCUUCCUCCCACCACUUGGCAACGCCGCCGAAGCCUUCCUUCUAGUGCCUCCUCACAGACAGCACCACCGAGCCCCAGCCAACACCACCCUCGCGGAGUUGCGGUCGUCGACACUACACCACUCAACUAUAACAUCAUCUAGUAGCCAGCAGUGUUCCACCCCUGGCGCCACCCACAGCAUCGUUUCUGGCCACCCGCAACACUGAGCCACCCAGCACAGCACCACCCAACAACGUUGCUGGCCACCCACAACACAGCACAGCACAACACUGACCACCGAGCCACCCAACCACCGAUUCAAGUCAGAUAUGGAGCCCGAGCCUCCGUGUCAGUUCAUCCUGAAAGUUGGAAUCCUAUGUGAUGUGUUUCAAGCAUACUCACAGGUAUUCUUUCAUUCAUGAUGGACAAUAGCCCAACCACUGGAACGUAAACACUACCACCACCGAGAAGCAACAUUUAGCAAAAUCUUCGCUUUCUUUUGAUUGCAAGAAGUAGGCCUAUUGCAUCAUCUUUUCACAAGUUACCAUAGAAUUUAGCAAGGCCUCUAUAAUUUGUCUCUCAUUUUCACCAUUGG
Arachis stenosperma is the source of this 618-nucleotide long non-coding RNA. RefSeq lists it as uncharacterized. Lineage: Eukaryota; Viridiplantae; Streptophyta; Magnoliopsida; Fabales; Fabaceae. The record is from RefSeq and is a predicted model, not a curated record. The transcript is spliced from 4 exons.